GAUGAACGCUGGCUACAGGCUUAACACAUGCAAGUCGAGGGGAAACGACGGGGAAGCUUGCUUCCCCGGGCGUCGACCGGCGCACGGGUGAGUAACGCGUAUCCAACCUGCCUCUGACUGAGGGAUAACCCGUCGAAAGUCGGCCUAAUACCUCAUGGCAUCGUCUGCGGGCAUCCAACGACGAUUAAAGAUUUCAUCGGUCAGGGAUGGGGAUGCGUCUGAUUAGCUUGUUGGCGGGGUAACGGCCCACCAAGGCGACGAUCAGUAGGGGUUCUGAGAGGAAGGUCCCCCACAUUGGAACUGAGACACGGCCCAAACUCCUACGGGAGGCAGCAGUAGGGAAUCUUCCACAAUGGACGCAAGUCUGAUGGAGCAACGCCGCGUGAGUGAAGAAGGUUUUCGGAUCGUAAAGCUCUGUUGUUGGUGAAGAAGGAUAGAGGCAGUAACUGGUCUUUAUUUGACGGUAAUCAACCAGAAAGUCACGGCUAACUACGUGCCAGCAGCCGCGGUAAUACGUAGGUGGCAAGCGUUGUCCGGAUUCAUUGGGCGUAAAGCGAGCGCAGGCGGAAUGAUAAGUCUGAUGUGAAAGCCCACGGCUCAACCGUGGAACUGCAUCGGAAACUGUCAUUCUUGAGUGCAGAAGAGGAGAGUGGAACUCCAUGUGUAGCGGUGGAAUGCGUAGAUAUAUGGAAGAACACCAGUGGCGAAGGCGGCUCUCUGGUCUGCAACUGACGCUGAGGCUCGAAAGCAUGGGUAGCGAACAGG
RNAcentral lists this ribosomal RNA (765 nucleotides) under uncultured Pseudomonas sp. RNAcentral's name for it is "bacterial SSU rRNA". It matches the Rfam family "Bacterial small subunit ribosomal RNA", at positions 28 to 776 of the family's 1533-position model. The record is from RNAcentral. Lineage: Bacteria; Pseudomonadati; Pseudomonadota; Gammaproteobacteria; Pseudomonadales; Pseudomonadaceae.